CCAUCUGUUACGAUGAACUGUCGUUCCCGUUAAUUUGUUUCAGUUAUUCUCGAUAAAUAACUAAAUACUGUCAGAUGAGUUGAGUCAUCUAUCGAUAUGAAUUGAUAUUCUUGACAGAUAAACCAUCAUUCUCUCCAGUUAAAGGCUGUAUUUCUUAACAUAUGACAACUUCUCGAUAAGUCAAUUUGGUAGUCAUCUAUCCACACAUCCAAAUUUUGUUCAUCUGAACAUUACAUGUCUGUGAUUUUUCUUUCUUACAUGUGUGUGUUGCAUUAACAAGUAUUAAUUAUUAUGAUAUAAUUUUUUUACUUUGUUCUUGUAGAUGAAUUUUGAAUUCAUUGUUCGCGAAACUGGCAGAGGCAUAUAACCGGAAGGUGUGUGCCUUGAAUGACCAGGAGGGUCCAUUGCCUAGUGCAAACAAGGAGGUAAAUGGUAUGUAUGUUAAUUAUGAGGAAUUCAAAAUUUUAAAUACUCUCAUCUUAUUCCUUAGUGAACAAACUAGAAAUUGAUGACAUAUCCAAUAAUAUUGCAAAUAUUGUUUUCAACUAGAUGGAUGAGGAAUAGAGCCUAAGUGUCUUGCUUGAACAAAGAAAAAGUUCCCUUGGGUUGUAACGUGAUAGAGGUGAACGGUAAAUUUUGUUUUUGACAAUUUAUACUAAGUUGAAUUCUGAUUAUAUAUUAAAAGUACAUUGAGUUGAAAACUAAUGUUGAAUGUCUUCUCAUAACUUAAAUGCAGAUGAUACAACAAUGUUGGAUGAUGUCAUGGAGGAAAGUACCCUUCUCACUUCUAAAGCUAUGGUUCAACCUGAAAGUAAGUUCCCAAAGAAUGAUCUACAAUAUUGAUUUUAGGUACCUGAGCGAAUAAUUAGAUGUUGGUAGGCUAUGUUAUGUUAUUAUUUGGCAUUUUUGAUAAGUAAUUCACCAUACUACUUUGUAUGGGCGAUGUCCGAGACAUACUGGUGAUAGCCGUUGUACACGUUGAAGGCGACGAUAUAGUUAACACAAAGAGGCCACAAUCGACAUAUGUUCGCUUUCCUACAACAUCUAUUAAGACUCCAUACACCAAGAUGAGGAGAGAGAAGUCAAGAAUUAGUGCCCCAACAAGUUUGUUAAUGCUAUGAGAAACACUAUUAGAUUGUUGUAUGCUAAAUGCCUAUAGUAUGGACAAUUUUCCAAGAAUUUAAUUAUAAACAUGCAUUGGUGAUUGUAUUAUGCCAUUGUUUGAGCCCCAUUUUUUUGAGAAGAAUGAAUUUUUGAAUAGUGUAUUAAUGGGAAAUGUGUAAUUAAAAAAUAAGGAAAAGUUUUGAAUUUGUAUGUAGUAUUAUUUUAUUAAAAAAUGUGUGAUUGAAAU
Molecule: long non-coding RNA, 1351 nt
Filed under: Olea europaea subsp. europaea
Lineage: Eukaryota; Viridiplantae; Streptophyta; Magnoliopsida; Lamiales; Oleaceae
Source: RNAcentral